UCUCAGUCCUAAGGGUGAAUCUAAUCUGGAAAGAUUCUCAGAACUGUUGAGGUGCUCGCAAGCAGAAGAUGUUGACACAAGAAGAGUAUUUUCAAAGUAUUCUUAUGGUGGAAGUAUCUGAAAGGAUAAUUGGGAAAGGAUUUAAGAUCAAUGUCUACAUGAGCCAAGUACAAGUAUUUAAUUGAUUAUCCUUGGAGCUCAAGAUAACUGAUGUUCUUAAAGAUGUUGGAACAUCUCUUCUUCAAGACCCUGUGCAGAAUCACAGGAAGGAUA
RNAcentral lists this long non-coding RNA (273 nucleotides) under Lathyrus oleraceus (garden pea). RNAcentral's name for it is "Pisum sativum (pea) long non-coding RNA (PSAT_LNC033457)". Lineage: Eukaryota; Viridiplantae; Streptophyta; Magnoliopsida; Fabales; Fabaceae. The record is from RNAcentral.